RNAcentral lists this non-coding RNA (190 nucleotides) under Sharpea azabuensis. RNAcentral's name for it is "T-box sequence". It matches the Rfam family "T-box leader". From Rfam's summary of the family: Uncharged tRNA acts as the effector for transcription antitermination of genes in the T-box leader family. T-boxes are found upstream of many aminoacyl-tRNA synthetase genes and some amino acid biosynthetic genes usually in Gram-positive bacteria. The record is from RNAcentral. Lineage: Bacteria; Bacillati; Bacillota; Erysipelotrichia; Erysipelotrichales; Coprobacillaceae.
GUAAAAGCAAGGAACAGAAGAGAUUAAGGGUAUCCUUUUAGAGAGUCUAUGGCUGGUGGAAAUAGAUAGGAGAACUUAUGAAGAUGAACUGGGAGCUGCUGCUUCUAACAGGAGUAGACGUUAACUCGCGUUAAGAGAAUGAGAGUCCGCAAGGAAAUAAAGGUGGUACCGCGAGCAAUUCGUCCUUUUG